Molecule: unclassified non-coding RNA, 400 nt
Filed under: uncultured Cortinarius
Lineage: Eukaryota; Fungi; Basidiomycota; Agaricomycetes; Agaricales; Cortinariaceae
Description: sequence contains ITS2
Rfam family: 5.8S ribosomal RNA (bases 1-154)
Source: RNAcentral
AACUUUUGACAACGGAUCUCUUGGCUCUCGCAUCGAUGAAGAACGCAGCGAAUUGCGAUAAGUAAUGUGAAUUGCAGAUUUCAGUGAAUCAUCGAAUCUUUGAACGCACCUUGCGCUCCUUGGUAUUCCGAGGAGCAUGCCUGUUUGAGUGUCAUUAAUAUAUCAACCUUCUCUUGUUGAGUUGGUUUGGAUGUGGGGGUUUGCUGGCCUCAUAAGAGGUUUCAGCUCUCCUGAAAUGCAUUAGCAGAACAACCCUGUUCAUUGGUGUGAUAACUAUCUACGCUAUUGAAUGUGAAGGGCAGUUUGGCUUUCUAACAGUCCUUGGACAGCUCAUCAUUAAUGUGACCUCAAAUCAGGUAGGACUACCCGCUGAACUUAAGCAUAUCAAUAAGCGGAGGCU